RNAcentral lists this ribosomal RNA (460 nucleotides) under uncultured bacterium. RNAcentral describes it as "partial 16S ribosomal RNA". It matches the Rfam family "Bacterial small subunit ribosomal RNA", at positions 338 to 795 of the family's 1533-position model. The record is from RNAcentral.
CCUACGGGGGGCAGCAGUGAGGAAUAUUGGUCAAUGGACGCAAGUCUGAACCAGCCAUGCCGCGUGCAGGAAGACGGCUCUAUGAGUUGUAAACUGCUUUUGUACGAGGGUAAACGCAGAUACGCGUAUCUGUCUGAAAGUAUUGUACGAAUAAGGAUCGGCUAACUCCGUGCCAGCAGCCGCGGUAAUACGGAGGAUUCAAGCGUUAUCCGGAUUUAUUGGGUUUAAAGGGUGCGUAGGCGGUCGGAUAAGUUAGAGGUGAAAUCCCGAGGCUCAACUUCGGAAUUGCCUCUGAUACUGUUCGGCGAGAGAGUAGUUGCGGUAGGCGGAAUGUAUGGUGUAGCGGUGAAAUGCUUAGAGAUCAUACAGAACACCGAUUGCGAAGGCAGCUUACCAAGCUACUUCUGACGUUGAGGCACGAAAGCGUGGGGAGCAAACAGGAUUAGAUACCCGAGUAGUC